GAUGAACGCUGGCGGCGUGCCUAACACAUGCAAGUCGAACGGAGUCCAGCCUUUAAGACCUUCGGGUCAAAGAGGGGAAGACUGAGUGGCGGACGGGUGAGUAACACGUGGGCAACCUGGCUCAUAGAGGGGGAUAACAGAGAGAAAUUUCUGCUAAUACCGCAUAAGCACACACUGCCGCAUGGCAGAGGGUGAAAAGAGAAUCGCUAUGAGAUGGACCCGCGUCUGAUUAGCCAGUUGGCAGGGUAAGAGCCUACCAACGCGACGAUCAGUAGCCGAUCUGAGAGGAUGAACGGCCACAUUGGGACUGAGACACGGCCCAAACGCCUACGGGAGGCAGCAGUGGGGGAUAUUGCACAAUGGGGGGAACCCUGAUGCAGCGACGCCGCGUGAGUGAAGAAGUAUUUCGGUAUGUAAAGCUCUAUCAGCAGGGAAGAUAAUGACAGUACCUGAAUAAGAAGCCCCGGCUAACUACGU
Molecule: ribosomal RNA, 477 nt
Filed under: uncultured bacterium
Lineage: Bacteria
Description: partial 16S ribosomal RNA
Rfam family: Bacterial small subunit ribosomal RNA
Source: RNAcentral